Molecule: ribosomal RNA, 253 nt
Filed under: uncultured bacterium
Lineage: Bacteria
Description: partial 16S ribosomal RNA
Rfam family: Bacterial small subunit ribosomal RNA
Source: RNAcentral
UACAGAGGGUGCGAGCGUUGUCCGGAAUCACUGGGCGUAAAGGGCGCGUAGGUGGCCCGAUAAGUCGGGGGUGAAACGCUGCGGCUCAACCGCAGCACUGCCUCCGAGACUGUCAGGCUUGAGCACGGUAGAGGCUGGUGGAAUUCCCGGUGUAGCGGUGGAAUGCGUAGAGAUCGGGAAGAACAUCGGUGGCGAAGGCGGCCAGCUGGGCCGUUGCUGACACUGAGGCGCGACAGCGUGGGGAGCAAACAGG